GGUUCUUGGAAGGCGGUGCUCUGAGAAGCCGGACAACGCGGCAGCCGCUCUUCAAAGCGGAGCCGGGAGUUUUUGCUACAGUUGUCGCCACCAUGAGUCGCAGCUAUAAUGAUGAGCUGCAGUUCUUGGAGAAGAUCAAUAAAAACUGCUGGAGGAUCAAGAAGGGCUUCGUGCCCAACAUGCAGGUUGAAGGUGUUUUCUAUGUGAAUGAUGCUCUGGAGAAAUUGAUGUUUGAGGAAUUAAGGAAUGCCUGUCGAGGUGGUGGUGUUGGUGGCUUCCUGCCAGCCAUGAAACAGAUUGGCAAUGUGGCAGCCCUGCCUGGAAUUGUUCAUGUGAGUCAGAGUUCAGAACUUUAAUCAUUUAUAUUUCUUAAAGUCCAUUGAAUGGAUGAAUGGCCAUGCCUGAUAGUGGUGUCAUUUAGACAAUGACCUUUGGACAGCCAGACAUAACCAUGAAGGCAGGCUCAGUGGCUCAUGCCACCCGCAACACUUUGAGAGACCAAGAUGGAAGGAUUGCAUGAGCCCAGGAAUUCAAGACUAGUCUGGGCAACAUGGCAAGACCCUGUCUAUACCAAAAAAAUUAGUCAGGUGUGAUGUCACAUGCUUGUAGUCCCAGCUACUUAGAAUGC
Molecule: small RNA, 628 nt
Filed under: Pan troglodytes (chimpanzee)
Lineage: Eukaryota; Metazoa; Chordata; Mammalia; Primates; Hominidae
Description: retained intron
Source: RNAcentral